GUGUACGUGGUAGCGGAGCGUUCCGUAAGUCUGUGAAGGCGGACCCGUGAGGGCUGCUGGAGAUAUCGGAAGUGCGAAUGUUGACAUGAGUAACGAUAAAGGGAGUGAGAGACUCCCUCGCCGAAAGACCAAGGGUUCCUGCGCAACGUUAAUCGACGCAGGGUGAGUCGGUCCCUAAGGCGAGGCUGAAGAGCGUAGUCG
RNAcentral lists this ribosomal RNA (201 nucleotides) under Chaetoceros curvisetus. RNAcentral describes it as "partial Bacterial large subunit ribosomal RNA". It matches the Rfam family "Bacterial large subunit ribosomal RNA", at positions 1219 to 1417 of the family's 2925-position model. The record is from RNAcentral. Lineage: Eukaryota; Bacillariophyta; Thalassiosirophyceae; Chaetocerotales; Chaetocerotaceae.